CAAGUCGAACGAGUUCUCGUUGAUGAUCGGUGCUUGCACCGAGAUUCAACAUGGAACGAGUGGCGGACGGGUGAGUAACACGUGGGUAACCUGCCCUUAAGUGGGGGAUAACAUUUGGAAACAGAUGCUAAUACCGCAUAGAUCCAAGAACCGCAUGGUUCUUGGCUGAAAGAUGGCGUAAGCUAUCGCUUUUGGAUGGACCCGCGGCGUAUUAGCUAGUUGGUGAGGUAAUGGCUCACCAAGGCGAUGAUACGUAGCCGAACUGAGAGGUUGAUCGGCCACAUUGGGACUGAGACACGGCCCAAACUCCUACGGGAGGCAGCAGUAGGGAAUCUUCCACAAUGGACGCAAGUCUGAUGGAGCAACGCCGCGUGAGUGAAGAAGGCUUUCGGGUCGUAAAACUCUGUUGUUGGAGAAGAAUGGUCGGCAGAGUAACUGUUGCCGGCGUGACGGUAUCCAACCAGAAAGCCACGGCUAACUACGUGCCAGCAGCCGCGGUAAUACGUAGGAGGCAAGCGUUAUCCGGAUUUAUUGGGCGUAAAGCGAGCGCAGGCGGUUUUUUAAGUCUGAUGUGAAAGCCCUCGGCUUAACCGAGGAAGCGCAUCGGAAACUGGGAAACUUGAGUGCAGAAGAGGACAGUGGAACUCCAUGUGUAGCGGUGAAAUGCGUAGAUAUAUGGAAGAACACCAGUGGCGAAGGCGGCUGUCUGGUCUGUAAC
This 718-nucleotide ribosomal RNA is filed under the name uncultured bacterium. RNAcentral's name for it is "bacterial SSU rRNA". It matches the Rfam family "Bacterial small subunit ribosomal RNA", at positions 58 to 740 of the family's 1533-position model. The record is from RNAcentral.